RNAcentral lists this ribosomal RNA (424 nucleotides) under uncultured prokaryote. RNAcentral describes it as "bacterial SSU rRNA". It matches the Rfam family "Bacterial small subunit ribosomal RNA", at positions 355 to 796 of the family's 1533-position model. The record is from RNAcentral.
UGGGGAAUCUUGGACAAUGGGGGCAACCCUGAUCCAGCCAUGCCGCGUGAGUGAAGAAGGCCCUAGGGUUGUAAAGCUCUUUCAACGGUGAAGAUAAUGACGGUAACCGUAGAAGAAGCCCCGGCUAACUUCGUGCCAGCAGCCGCGGUAAUACGAAGGGGGCUAGCGUUGUUCGGAAUUACUGGGCGUAAAGCGCGCGUAGGCGGAUUGAUUAGUCAGGGGUGAAAUCCCGGAGCUCAACUCCGGAACUGCCUUUGAUACUGUCAAUCUAGAGUUCGAGAGAGGUGAGUGGAAUUCCGAGUGUAGAGGUGAAAUUCGUAGAUAUUCGGAGGAACACCAGUGGCGAAGGCGGCUCACUGGCUCGAUACUGACGCUGAGGUGCGAAAGCGUGGGGAGCAAACAGGAUUAGAUACCCCGGUAGUCC